CUUGAUCACACGGUGCUGUCACGGGAUAAUUAACUGCCUUUUUAAAACGCUGCAGAACGGAUCAUAGACUACGUUUCUAAUGGAAUCCGCGAUUUAAAGCUACUUGUCCGAAGGCCCUGCAUUGAUCAGUGAAGACUUAGUGGAUUACCGGACCAGUGUUUCUAUGGUGAUGGACUGACGGUCAUACCCAGUCUACUCUGGACUAAGAGUGGACCUUGGAGGGAAGGACCACCGAGGACCACAACUGGCUCCAACACCCAGACUUUUAGACCAAGGCACCCUCCUACCCAGGCACCAGUGACUGAAACAGGGGGACUAACAGACAACCUGAGGAGAAGCUUCCCAUCUUCAUCUCUUUCGCCACCUGGAUCUCUAGAUUCUUCAAGUAGACUGUGUCAGAGAAGUCAGAGAAGCAUCAGGAGAAGAGAAGAAGAGUGAGAGUCCGCACAGGCAGCACAGGGCCAUAGAGGAAGUGGACAACGAGCAAAAAAGACCAGCAAAGAUUGUUCUCUGCCAAACUGAAAGGGAGUUUUCCUCCAUCUCUGUCGCUGAGGGAAGCGGUCAUUAGGGGCCAUGAGUUGCUGCUGGGGCUACCGUCAUUGUAUCCCUCCGAUGCGGAACACUU
Molecule: long non-coding RNA, 625 nt
Organism: Oncorhynchus gorbuscha (pink salmon)
Lineage: Eukaryota; Metazoa; Chordata; Actinopteri; Salmoniformes; Salmonidae
Exons: 4
Source: RefSeq, a predicted model, not a curated record